RNAcentral lists this ribosomal RNA (444 nucleotides) under uncultured bacterium. Its description in RNAcentral is "partial 16S ribosomal RNA". It matches the Rfam family "Bacterial small subunit ribosomal RNA", at positions 354 to 796 of the family's 1533-position model. The record is from RNAcentral.
GUAGGGAAUAUUGGGCAAUGGUCGGAAGACUGACCCAGCCAUGCCGCGUGCAGGAAGACGGCCCUCUGGGUUGUAAACUGCUUUUAUCUGGGAAGAAAAAGGCCAUGCGUGGCAAAUUGCCGGUACCAGAUGAAUAAGCACCGGCUAACUCCGUGCCAGCAGCCGCGGUAAUACGGAGGGUGCGAGCUUUGUCCGGAUUUAUUGGGUUUAAAGGGUGCGUAGGCGGCUGAUUAAGUCAGCGGUGGAAGACUUCGGCUUAACCGGAGCAGUGCCGUUGAUACUGGUUGGCUUGAGUGUCGGAGGGGUACAUGGAAUUGAUGGUGUAGCGGUGAAAUGCAUAGAUACCAUCAGGAACACCGAUAGCGAAGGCAUUGUACUGGCCGACAACUGACGCUGAUGCACGAAAGUGUGGGGAUCGAACAGGAUUAGAAACCCCAGUAGUCC